GUAUCCCGUUGAAACACCAGUCCACCGAAGUUAAGCAACAUCGAGCCUAGUCAGUACCUAGAUGGGUGACUACCUGGGAAUACCAGUUGCUGUAAG
Molecule: non-coding RNA, 96 nt
Organism: Acanthosepion pharaonis
Lineage: Eukaryota; Metazoa; Mollusca; Cephalopoda; Sepiida; Sepiidae
Source: the annotation of a GenBank genome assembly